Molecule: ribosomal RNA, 381 nt
Filed under: uncultured eukaryote
Lineage: Eukaryota
Description: SSU rRNA
Rfam family: Eukaryotic small subunit ribosomal RNA
Source: RNAcentral
AGCUCCAAUAGCGUAUAUUAAAGUUGUUGCGGUUAAAAAGCUCGUAGUUGGAUUUCUGCUGAGGACGACCGGUCCGCCCUCUGGGUGAGCAUCUGGCUCGGCCUCGGCAUCUUCUUGGAGAACGUAACUGCACUUGACUGUGUGGUGCGGUACUCAAGACUUUUACUUUGAGGAAAUUAGAGUGUUUCAAGCAGGCGCAUGCCUUGAAUACAUUAGCAUGGAAUAAUGAGAUAGGACCUUAGUUCUAUUUUGUUGGUUUCUAGAGCUGAGGUAAUGAUUAAUAGGGACAGUUGGGGGCAUUCAUAUUCCAAUGUCAGAGGUGAAAUUCUUGGAUUAUCGGAAGAUGAACUUCUGCGAAAGCAUCUGCCAAGGAUGUUUUCA